Molecule: ribosomal RNA, 510 nt
Filed under: Rhodobacteraceae bacterium N1mML11
Lineage: Bacteria; Pseudomonadati; Pseudomonadota; Alphaproteobacteria; Rhodobacterales; Paracoccaceae
Description: bacterial SSU rRNA
Rfam family: Bacterial small subunit ribosomal RNA
Source: RNAcentral
GGGAAUAUACCCUUUGGUACGGAAUAGCCUCUGGAAACGGAGAGUAAUACCGUAUGAGCCCUUCGGGGGAAAGAUUUAUCGCCAAAGGAUUAGCCCGCGUUAGAUUAGGUAGUUGGUGGGGUAAUGGCCUACCAAGCCUACGAUCUAUAGCUGGUUUUAGAGGAUGAUCAGCAACACUGGGACUGAGACACGGCCCAGACUCCUACGGGAGGCAGCAGUGGGGAAUCUUGGACAAUGGGGGCAACCCUGAUCCAGCCAUGCCGCGUGAGUGAUGAAGGCCUUAGGGUCGUAAAGCUCUUUCGCCUGUGAAGAUAAUGACGGUAGCAGGUAAAGAAACCCCGGCUAACUCCGUGCCAGCAGCCGCGGUAAUACGGAGGGGGUUAGCGUUGUUCGGAAUUACUGGGCGUAAAGCGCACGUAGGCGGACUGGAAAGUUGGGGGUGAAAUCCCGGGGCUCAACCCCGGAACUGCCUCCAAAACUAUCAGUCUAGAGUUCNAGAGAGGUGAGUGG